UUUGGAGCUUGUCCAUCAACUCCCUAUGGUAGUAAGAAGGUAUAUGUCGACGUCUUAGGGCUCCCCUAAGGUCAUUCCAAUAUUCUAUGGGAGGUUCCCUAUGAAGACGUCGGUCUCUCUCUAAAGAGGUCCACCAAUACAUAGCAUUUCCUUGGAAACUAAGGGUGGCUAAGGGUACCUUACGUUCCUCACUUACCCUAUGGCAAGCAAAGAGUUGCUCUACCUUCAUCUCCCAAUCUAGAUAUACUUCUACAUUUUCCUUUCCAUGAAAAUGAGGUAGGUCUACUCUUGUUUCCCUUGGCACCUCUUGUUCCCUUUGCCUAGUUCUUCUAGGGGGUGGUUGGUAAUAAUCAUUGAUUCUACGGCUUCCCUCCCCUAGAGAUUCAAUACUUUGCGAAUGUGAUGCAUGAGUUUUUUUUUAUUUUUGUGAUUUUUGUGACUUCUCUUCUUGAGCUUUAGCCAACUCAUUGAUUUUG
This 476-nucleotide long non-coding RNA is filed under the name Phaseolus vulgaris (common bean). RNAcentral's name for it is "long non-coding RNA (PVUL_LNC001644)". The record is from RNAcentral. Lineage: Eukaryota; Viridiplantae; Streptophyta; Magnoliopsida; Fabales; Fabaceae.